RNAcentral lists this long non-coding RNA (4304 nucleotides) under Canis lupus familiaris (dog). RNAcentral's name for it is "lncRNA (ENSCAFG00030015423.1)". The record is from RNAcentral. Lineage: Eukaryota; Metazoa; Chordata; Mammalia; Carnivora; Canidae.
UCAGGAGUUGAGCAGCUGAAAGUUCUCGAGUGGGAGAUGAACUGCUUCCAGCUGCACACACAGACACGGCCCAGAGGAGGGCUUCCGGCGUCCGGAUCCGGCUUGCCCGGUCGUUUGCAGGCUCAGACAGACAGGUUCCCGUCGGUGGACAGACGGCUACGGUGUGUGAAUUGCAUAUUUAUUUGUUGUCCGAAGACAAAGCUUCCUGGAUGCAAAAGGGAUAGACCGUCCCCAGAGUUGGCUGAGCGCAGAGAGAAAUCCUUGACGUAAGUCCUCCUCCCUCCCCAGGGCAGCUUUGCACCCCAUCACUGAGGCGCUGUAGUUGGGGGGCGAGGAGAGAGGAUUAUUUCUUUCACUUCCGCAGUAGCUUGCCCUCACUUUUUCCUUGAAUAAGUGACUCUGUGAUGGUGCCAGCAUUCAUGGCUUUCCACAACCUGAGUUGUGCAGGGAACCACAGCUAUUUCCAGUAGAAUCAGACCCCAGCUGAGUAGCAUCCUGCCCUUUUCCUUUUUUCCCAGAACUGCAGAAAUGCCAACCGGCCUGGCACCAGGCACGAAGGAUGCACGCACGUCUCCUCUUCCCUGGUCCUCCCAGAAGCAAGUUCCCUUGGCUGACAACCCAGGGCACAACUCCUGCUUCCGUGAGUGCCUAAUACAAGAGUUGAAGCUCCCGGAGCCUUCUUUGAAAAAUGCCAUGCCUAAUGUUCUACUACAGAUGUUUGCCUUGAGUCAAAUAUGGAGCUUAUGUAAAAUUAUAUGUAGGUUGGUGAUUAUUCUUGAAAUGGAUGGCUACCCUUUCUUUAUGUUUUAAGCGACCCGGCAAGUACGACCUGAUACCACUGAGAGAAUCACGAAAACGACCAAUAGCUAAACAUUUAAAACUCUUGAAAAUUUCCUCUUUUGUACCUUUUCAUCUUAACCACAGUAUUGCUGGAGAUUAUUCUUUGUGCUUAAUAUUAGAUAUUUAGCCCCUCUUUGUUUGAUAACCCAAAUGUUCUUUUAAAAAUCAUUUUACUGGUAUUUGAGAAAGAAGGAAAAUUUUGGAUUCUCUGCAUUUUGAGAUCUUUCCUAGAACUACAGUAAGUGUGCAGAAAAUCAGGUUUUAAUUUGUUCACAAAGGCCAAUGUGACACCGUCAGACCAGAGUUUUCCCUCUUUAGCUCUCAUGGGUCCUGGAGGCGAUGCUGUAGGGCACUGACUGUGACAGCCGGGGACACUGGGUCAUGUGCACCCUGAGAUUGUUUUCUGAGUUCCUCCCUUGCAGCUCCCAGGUGAAGAGAGUGCUGCUCCUGGCAUUACCCAUUCACUUGAUGUAAAGAAGUAUGGGGUCUAAAAUACUGCAUUUCACGUAAAACUGUUUGAUUAAAAAUCUUGGUUGUUUCCUUUCUUUUAUUUCCCUUUUAAAUCCUUUUGACUUGUGGAUAGCCAUAAAGGAAAUGAGCAGAAUAAACGAUGAUGUGACACUAUCAUAGUUUGUAACUUUCAUUAAAAUACAUUCAAUUUAAGGGUCAUAAACGAUGCUACAAAAUGAUAUUUGGGAGGAAAAUAGCGUUUUUCACAGCCUGGUGCUGACCUCUGUAGCUGACGGUCGUUUUAGCAGAGUCACUGUAUUGUCUGUCUACCUAUCUCACCCGGAAAGAUUUCAGUCUUUCUGGUCCCCUCCAACAGAACCAGAUUUGGUUGGUUAUAAAAUUUGAGAAUGGACCCAUGGAUGCUGGCUAGAUUAUAGUGGACUUUUCAUUUUUUUCUAGCUUGCCACAUGCCUCUCUCCAGCACUAACUGGUAAAAUAUUAUUCUCUGGUCAUUUUGAACUUGAAUUUAAUUGUACAUUGAUGUGAUCCAUAUUAAGAACUAUUUUUUUUAUCUAUUUAUGUAUGAUAGUCACAGAGAGAGAGAGAGAGGCACAGAGACACAGGCAGAGGGAGAAGCAGGCUCCAUGCACCAGGAGCCCGACAUGGGAUUCGAUCCCGGGUCUCCAGGAUCGCGCCCUGGGCCAAAGGCAGGCGCCAAACCGCUGUGCCACCCAGGGAUCCCCCAAGAACUAAUUUUAAGUUGAAAAUCAAGGUGGUAUGUAUGAAAGAGAGUAGAAUUUAAACCCAGGAGACCUAGUUUCUAAUUCUGUGUACCCUGUUUGCUGUCUGUAUAACCAUGGACACAUCUUUUAAACUUCUUGAAUAUCAAUUAUCUUUUUAAAAAUAAGGAUUCAAUUGUUCUCCUACUUUCCACAUCGAAUUUUUGGAUGAAUCAAAAGAUAAUGUAUGUAAAUAUGUUUAGUAUAGAAAUUAUUAUUACUAAUUAGGAGAUUAUUGGAAAUAAUUGUUAUUAAUAAUUAGAAGAAUCCUUUAGACUAUAUGUAGAAUGGAGCUUAUAUUUCAUUGUACUUUAAAGAAAAUGAUAAGAAGGAAGAAAAUUAUUUUUUUUAAUUUUUUAAAAAAGGUUUUUAUUUAUUUAUUCAUGAGAGACACAGAGAGAGAGAGAGAGAGAGAGAGGCAGAGACACAGGCAGAGGGAGAAGCAGGCUCCAUGCAGGGAGCCCGAUGUGGGACUCGAUCCCGGGUCUCCAGGAUCAUGCCCUGGGCUGAAGGCAGCGCUAAACCACGGAGCCACCCAGGCUGCCUGAAGAAAAUUAAAUACAAUGACAAAAUUAUGGAAGAAAGAUUUGGUGAUAAAAAUAACAUUUUGGAGAACUUUGCUAUAUUAUUUAUUCAUUUAUAUAUAACACCACUAAAUCACUAAAUCUAAAUAAGUUUCUGAACAUAAAUAAGCCUGCUUGUGCAUAUUCCUAUUUAUCACUUUUUAGUACAAGAACUGAAACAAGAGUAGAAGAAAGUUGGAUUCAGAACAUUAAAAACUUGUUCAUUUACUUUGUUGUUUGUGGUUUAACUUAUGCUGUUGGCCAUUAUGUUCAUUGUGCCCUAACUUAUUACCAGAAAGAUUCAAGAGAGCAAACUAAAGCUAAUUUUAAAAAUGCUUUGAUUUGGGCUGAAAAACAACAGUGAAUCAAAGGUAAAUACUGUAAAAAAAUAUUCUAAAGAUCUCCUUUCCUUGUUUGUAAAAAUCAUUAGCUCUUCUAAACACUCCAUUAACUCGGGAUGUCAUGACUUUGGUACCUGGAAUAUUGUUUGAGAAAGGUGUGGAGUAUUUAUUUAGUUGUACUGUGCUCAGAAUUAUUUAAUCAGAAUCCCUGGACGUGGUGGUAAGAAUACCAGUAUUUUUUGCAAAUGGCAGGAUUUCCUUCUUUUUCAAGGCUGAAUAAUAUUCCAUUGUAUGUACAACCCACUCUUAAAAACCCAUUCAUCUGGGGUUUCCCGGGUGGCUCAGUGGUUUAGCGCCUGCCUUCAGCCCAGGGUGUGAUCCUGGGUUCCCGGGAUCAAGUCCCACAUCAGGCUCCCUGCAUGGAGCCUGCUUCUCCCACGGCCUGUGUCUCUACCUCUCUCCCUGUAUGUGUCUCUCAAGAAUUCAUAAAUAAAAUCUUUAAAAAAAAAACCAUUCAUCUGAAGAUGGGCACAUAUGGUGUGGUUGCACAACAUAGUGUCUGUAGUUAACAAUAUUUUGUUAGAUGCUUAAAAAUUUUUUAAGAGGGUAAAUCUUGUAUUAAACAUUCUUACCACAAACAAAUAAAAAUUAGAACUAGGAAACUUUUGGAAGUGACUGAUAUGUCUAUUAUUGUGCCUAUGAUUGAUGGUGGUGGUAGUUUCUGGGAUGUAUACCUAUGUCCAACCUCAUCAAAUUACAUACAUUAAAUAUGUCUAUUGCAUCCAUUAUACUCCCAACAAAGCUCCCCCCGCCCCCAAGAAUGCUAACAUCUGAAAAUUAAACAAAUAUGCUGGGGACUCCUGGGUGGCUCAGUGGUUGAACAUCUGCCUUCCACUCAAGUCAUGAUCCCAGGGUCCUAGGAUCAAGUCCUGCAUCGGGCUCCCUCUGGGGAGCCUGCCUCUUCCUCUACUUGUGUCUCCAUCUCUCUCUGUCUGUGUCUCUCAUGAAUGGAUGAAUAAAAGCUUAAAAGAAAAAAUAAACAAAUAUGCUGAAUGGAGUAUUUGGCAUAUUAAAAUUUGUUCUGCAUUGACACAAUCAUCACUUUGGUCUAAAACCUAUGUAAGUGGGAUCCCUGGGUAGCUCAGCAGUUUAGCGCCUGCCUCUGGCCCAGGGUGUGAUCCUAGAGUCCCGGGAUCAAGUCCCACAUCAGGCUCCCUACAUGGAGCUUGCUUCUCCCUCUGCCUGUGUCUCUGCCUCUCUCUCUCUGUCUCUCAUGAAUCAAUAAAUAAAUUAUUUAAAAUAAAUAAAUAAAUAAAACCUAUGUAAGUAUG